GAUUAAGUUAUUAAGGGCGCACGGUGGAUGCCUUGGCACUAGAAGCCGAUGAAGGACGUUACUAACGACGAUAUGCUUUGGGGAGCUGUAAGUAAGCUUUGAUCCAGAGAUUUCCGAAUGGGGAAACCCAGCAUGAGUUAUGUCAUGUUAUCGAUAUGUGAAUACAUAGCAUAUCAGAAGGCACACCCGGAGAACUGAAACAUCUUAGUACCCGGAGGAAGAGAAAGAAAAUUCGAUUCCCUUAGUAGCGGCGAGCGAAACGGGAAGAGCCCAAACCAACAAGCUUGCUUGUUGGGGUUGUAGGACACUCUAUACGGAGUUACAAAGGACGACAUUAGACGAAUCAUCUGGAAAGAUGAAUCAAAGAAGGUAAUAAUCCUGUAGUCGAAAAUGUUGUCUCUCUUGAGUGGAUCCUGAGUACGACGGAGCACGUGAAAUUCCGUCGGAAUCUGGGAGGACCAUCUCCUAAGGCUAAAUACUCUCUAGUGACCGAUAGUGAACCAGUACCGUGAGGGAAAGGUGAAAAGCACCCCGGAAGGGGAGUGAAAUAGAACCUGAAACCGUGUGCUUACAAGUAGUCAGAGCCCGUUAAUGGGUGAUGGCGUGCCUUUUGUAGAAUGAACCGGCGAGUUACGAUUUGAUGCAAGGUUAAGCAGUAAAUGUGGAGCCGUAGCGAAAGCGAGUCUGAAUAGGGCGUUUAGUAUUUGGUCGUAGACCCGAAACCAGGUGAUCUACCCUUGGUCAGGUUGAAGUUCAGGUAACACUGAAUGGAGGACCGAACCGACUUACGUUGAAAAGUGAGCGGAUGAACUGAGGGUAGCGGAGAAAUUCCAAUCGAACCUGGAGAUAGCUGGUUCUCUCCGAAAUAGCUUUAGGGCUAGCCUCAAGUGAUGAUUAUUGGAGGUAGAGCACUGUUUGGACGAGGGGCCCCUCUCGGGUUACCGAAUUCAGACAAACUCCGAAUGCCAAUUAAUUUAACUUGGGAGUCAGAACAUGGGUGAUAAGGUCCGUGUUCGAAAGGGAAACAGCCCAGACCACCAGCUAAGGUCCCAAAAUAUAUGUUAAGUGGAAAAGGAUGUGGCGUUGCCCAGACAACUAGGAUGUUGGCUUAGAAGCAGCCAUCAUUUAAAGAGUGCGUAAUAGCUCACUAGUCGAGUGACACUGCGCCGAAAAUGUACCGGGGCUAAACAUAUUACCGAAGCUGUGGAUUGUCCUUUGGACAAUGGUAGGAGAGCGUUCUAAGGGCGUUGAAGCAUGAUCGUAAGGACAUGUGGAGCGCUUAGAAGUGAGAAUGCCGGUGUGAGUAGCGAAAGACGGGUGAGAAUCCCGUCCACCGAUUGACUAAGGUUUCCAGAGGAAGGCUCGUCCGCUCUGGGUUAGUCGGGUCCUAAGCUGAGGCCGACAGGCGUAGGCGAUGGAUAACAGGUUGAUAUUCCUGUACCACCUAUAAUCGUUUUAAUCGAUGGGGGGACGCAGUAGGAUAGGCGAAGCGUGCGAUUGGAUUGCACGUCUAAGCAGUAAGGCUGAGUAUUAGGCAAAUCCGGUACUCGUUAAGGCUGAGCUGUGAUGGGGAGAAGACAUUGUGUCUUCGAGUCGUUGAUUUCACACUGCCGAGAAAAGCCUCUAGAUAGAAAAUAGGUGCCCGUACCGCAAACCGACACAGGUAGUCAAGAUGAGAAUUCUAAGGUGAGCGAGCGAACUCUCGUUAAGGAACUCGGCAAAAUGACCCCGUAACUUCGGGAGAAGGGGUGCUCUUUAGGGUUAACGCCCAGAAGAGCCGCAGUGAAUAGGCCCAAGCGACUGUUUAUCAAAAACACAGGUCUCUGCUAAACCGUAAGGUGAUGUAUAGGGGCUGACGCCUGCCCGGUGCUGGAAGGUUAAGAGGAGUGGUUAGCUUCUGCGAAGCUACGAAUCGAAGCCCCAGUAAACGGCGGCCGUAACUAUAACGGUCCUAAGGUAGCGAAAUUCCUUGUCGGGUAAGUUCCGACCCGCACGAAAGGCGUAACGAUUUGGGCACUGUCUCAACGAGAGACUCGGUGAAAUCAUAGUACCUGUGAAGAUGCAGGUUACCCGCGACAGGACGGAAAGACCCCGUGGAGCUUUACUGUAGCCUGAUAUUGAAAUUCGGCACAGCUUGUACAGGAUAGGUAGGAGCCUUUGAAACGUGAGCGCUAGCUUACGUGGAGGCGCUGGUGGGAUACUACCCUAGCUGUGUUGGCUUUCUAACCCGCACCACUUAUCGUGGUGGGAGACAGUGUCAGGCGGGCAGUUUGACUGGGGCGGUCGCCUCCUAAAAGGUAACGGAGGCGCUCAAAGGUUCCCUCAGAAUGGUUGGAAAUCAUUCAUAGAGUGUAAAGGCAUAAGGGAGCUUGACUGCGAGACCUACAAGUCGAGCAGGGUCGAAAGACGGACUUAGUGAUCCGGUGGUUCCGCAUGGAAGGGCCAUCGCUCAACGGAUAAAAGCUACCCCGGGGAUAACAGGCUUAUCUCCCCCAAGAGUUCACAUCGACGGGGAGGUUUGGCACCUCGAUGUCGGCUCAUCGCAUCCUGGGGCUGUAGUCGGUCCCAAGGGUUGGGCUGUUCGCCCAUUAAAGCGGUACGCGAGCUGGGUUCAGAACGUCGUGAGACAGUUCGGUCCCUAUCCGUCGUGGGCGUAGGAAAUUUGAGAGGAGCUGUCCUUAGUACGAGAGGACCGGGAUGGACAUACCUCUGGUGUACCAGUUGUCGUGCCAACGGCAUAGCUGGGUAGCUAUGUGUGGACGGGAUAAGUGCUGAAAGCAUCUAAGCAUGAAGCCCCCCUCAAGAUGAGAUUUCCCAACUUCGGUUAUAAGAUCCCUCAAAGAUGAUGAGAUUAAUAGGUUCGAGGUGGAAGCAUGGUGACAUGUGGAGCUGACGAAUACUAAUCGAUCGAAGACUUAAUCAA
This 2923-nucleotide ribosomal RNA is filed under the name Staphylococcus aureus. RNAcentral describes it as "23S ribosomal RNA". It matches the Rfam family "Bacterial large subunit ribosomal RNA". The record is from RNAcentral. Lineage: Bacteria; Bacillati; Bacillota; Bacilli; Caryophanales; Staphylococcaceae.